Molecule: long non-coding RNA, 375 nt
Filed under: Bemisia tabaci
Lineage: Eukaryota; Metazoa; Arthropoda; Insecta; Hemiptera; Aleyrodidae
Description: lncRNA ENSSSA2NGG012115
Source: RNAcentral
UGUGGUUCAAAUACUUAUUUAAACUUUUAUGAUAGUUUGCAAAUUUAUCUAAUUUUAUUUCUUGAUUUCUUUUUAGGAUCAAAAAGUUCAAGAAAUGGAAAGAAAAAGAAGAGAAACGUAAAAGGAAGGAAUUAAUGAGAGAAAUGGAUAAGCACGAAAGGAGACAGUAUAAGAAGUCUUUAGCUGAAACUCCGAAAACCAAGGAACAACUACUUAGGGAGAAAUUAAUUGCAAAUUCAAAUCAAAUGAAGAAAAGCGUGUAGAAGCUCAGAAAACAAAACCUAAAGGUAAAUAUCAAUUUUUUUCUCAUGCUAACAUCUAAUUUUUAAGAAUAAUAUUACAAUUACAUGUCUACAUCUAUAUUCCAUUCUUUUU